AGUGGGGAAUAUUGCACAAUGGGCGCAAGCCUGAUGCAGCAACGCCGCGUGAGGGACGACGGCCUUCGGGUUGUAAACCUCUUUUAGCAGGGAAGAAGCGAAAGUGACGGUACCUGCAGAAAAAGCGCCGGCUAACUACGUGCCAGCAGCCGCGGUAAUACGUAGGGCGCAAGCGUUAUCCGGAAUUAUUGGGCGUAAAGAGCUCGUAGGCGGUUUGUCGCGUCUGCUGUGAAAUCCGGAGGCUCAACCUCCGGCCUGCAGUGGGUACGGGCAGACUAGAGUGCGGUAGGGGAGAUUGGAAUUCCUGGUGUAGCGGUGGAAUGCGCAGAUAUCAGGAGGAACACCGAUGGCGAAGGCAGAUCUCUGGGCCGUAACUGACGCUGAGGAGCGAAAGGGUGGGGAGCAAACAGGCUUAGAUACCCUGGUAGUCCACCCCGUAAACGUUGGGAACUAGUUGUGGGGUCCAUUCCACGGAUUCCGUGACGCAGCUAACGCAUUAAGUUCCCCGCCUGGGGAGUACGGCCGCAAGGCUAAAACUCAAAGGAAUUGACGGGGACCCGCACAAGCGGCGGAGCAUGCGGAUUAAUUCGAUGCAACGCGAAGAACCUUACCAAGGCUUGACAUAUACGAGAACGGGCCAGAAAUGGUCAACUCUUGGA
This 659-nucleotide ribosomal RNA is filed under the name Microbacterium sp. Its description in RNAcentral is "bacterial SSU rRNA". It matches the Rfam family "Bacterial small subunit ribosomal RNA", at positions 353 to 1021 of the family's 1533-position model. The record is from RNAcentral. Lineage: Bacteria; Bacillati; Actinomycetota; Actinomycetes; Micrococcales; Microbacteriaceae.